This 813-nucleotide long non-coding RNA is filed under the name Solanum tuberosum (potato). RNAcentral's name for it is "long non-coding RNA (STUB_LNC011322)". Lineage: Eukaryota; Viridiplantae; Streptophyta; Magnoliopsida; Solanales; Solanaceae. The record is from RNAcentral.
AACAUCUUAAUUAAUUAUUGAGGCCAAAAGAAAAUGGCGGCAAAUGCGUUGAAAUUCUUAGUUACUCCCUAAGCUAACCUAGGGUUUGUCCUUUCUCACCAUCUCCACCACUGCAACAAUGUUCGGAGCUAAGCCCUCCUCCGCCUUCGGUACUCCAUCAUUCGGCACACCUUCGUCAACCCCAGCAUUCGGCACACCUUCAUCAACCCCAGCAUUCGGCACGCCGUCAACUUCAUCAUUUGGCACUGGUUUUGGAUCGACACUAUUUUCAACACCAUUUUCACAGCAGGCACAGCCACAGCCACAUCAACAGCAACAAACUUCCUUCUUUCAAACACCUCAGAGUUUGUCCCCUUUCAGCUUUUCCACACCCUUGAGUACUGCUACACAGGCCCAAUCCAGUCCAUUUGGUACUUCCUUUCCAUUUGCAAAUGCUCAGUUGACUACUCAGAUGGCUCCCGUGGCUCCACUCCCCUUUUCUCUCGCUGAUAGGGAUAUACAAGUAAUUUCUUUACUCUCAAAUCUUUGUGCACAUCACAAUCCUAAGUAUAUCUCUUUAUGUGCACAACAACAAUAUAUUUCAUCAAGCCAUGGCUACCUGACCUGACUGGGUGCGGGUGGGUUUUUUUCUGGGAAGAUGUUUCAUUUGAAAAAAAUAUAUGAAAGGAGAUAAUAGACCCCGGACGGCAGGAGUAUGCAAACCAUUCUUACAGAAACUUUUCUUGUUUUAAGUAUUUUAAUAAUAUAGAAUAUACAUGUGUGUUUUAAUUUAAUUUACGUAUAUGAAUAACACAAAUAUCUGAUGAAGGGAGC